UACGGGGGGGGCAAGCGUUGUUCGGAAUUACUGGGCGUAAAGGGCGCGUAGGCGGGUGGACAAGUCUCGCGUGAAAGCCCACGGCUCAACCGUGGAAUUGCGGGAGAUACUGUCUGUCUUGAGCCCGGGAGAGGAGGGUGGAAUUACCAGUGUAGCGGUGAAAUGCGUAGAUAUUGGGAGGAACACCGGUGGCGAAGGCGGCUCUCUGGAACGGUACUGACGCUGAGGCGCGAAAGCUAGGGGAGCAAACGGG
Molecule: ribosomal RNA, 253 nt
Filed under: uncultured bacterium
Lineage: Bacteria
Description: partial 16S ribosomal RNA
Rfam family: Bacterial small subunit ribosomal RNA
Source: RNAcentral